Gymnodraco acuticeps is the source of this 980-nucleotide long non-coding RNA. RefSeq lists it as uncharacterized. Lineage: Eukaryota; Metazoa; Chordata; Actinopteri; Perciformes; Bathydraconidae. The transcript is spliced from 3 exons. The record is from RefSeq and is a predicted model, not a curated record.
AAACAUCCAAGUCAGUUUGAGCGGGUCUCCUCCUGCUGGAGCUACAGCUGUCUGUGUGUCUGCUGCAGGAGUUUAUGGAUUAAUAUCGGGAUCGUUUUACAUCUACACGUUAAAUAUGAGCAUCGGGACGUCAACAAAGAACAGAAGACUUGAGAUCUGAGCACCAGUGGACAGUGAGGACUAUGGAAGAGAAGAUGUGAUGGAAAGCUGCUGACGCCAGCCUGUGUCCCUCAUCAGUCUCUCCAGGCAGCACCCAGCUAUUCUUCCAUCUUGCAGAUGGAAAGACAGAAAGAAAGAUGGAAUAUGUUGCACUGCCACGUCUACAGUAGCGCAGAAUGGACCGAGGAAACAUGAUUGGGCAUCAAGUUUUUUGCAGCCAAUAUACAUUCUCCUACAAACUUGGGUUAGGAGGGUGAGUGAAGAAGUUAUCCAUUGGUUGGAACCUACAUCCCCAUUGUUAGACGUACUAAAUCCUGCACACUGCUCCUUCAAAUUGACAAUGUGAACAUACAGAUGUAGCACCUCAUUUCAGACUCCAGCUUACAGCUUCCUGCCUACGACCUGCCUAAGACCAGUAUCGAGGAAUGUUAAGCCCUCCCACUAUUUUCCAAGCGGGCUUUGCCAGAUUUUCAAUUUCAGGUUUUAACCAGGAGAUGGCGCUUCAUUCACAAAUACAGAAAGACAACUUUCAGCACUUUCAGUUGUGUUUUGAGGAGCAUUUGAACACAUAUUUUAGAUCAAAUAAAGUAUAUCUAAUCUUGUAAUUCAAUAAUAUAUAGUCUUUAUAUAUUAAAUAAUCAUAAUAAUAAUGUAAAUGUUUACAUUACACUUCUUUAUUUGUUAUGCUCAUACUUUUACCUUUACAAUCGUUUGCUUUAAUAUGCAGUAUUUUUGUUGUAUAUUUGUGUUUGCUUCGUCUUGCUCCCUUUCGGACAUAUACUGUAUGAUUUAUUAUUAAUAUGAAGAUAUUAUUAAGAUAA